This 443-nucleotide ribosomal RNA is filed under the name uncultured bacterium. RNAcentral describes it as "partial 16S ribosomal RNA". It matches the Rfam family "Bacterial small subunit ribosomal RNA", at positions 338 to 795 of the family's 1533-position model. The record is from RNAcentral.
CCUACGGGAGGCUGCAGUGGGGAAUAUUGGACAAUGGGGGGAACCCUGAUCCAGCAACGCCGCGUGAAGGAAGAAGGCUUUCGGGUUGUAAACUUCUUUUCUGAGGGACGAAGAACGUGACGGUCCCUCAGGACUAAGCCACGGCUAACUACGUGCCAGCAGCCGCGGUAAUACGUAGGUGGCAAGCGUUAUCCGGAUUUAUUGGGUGUAAAGGGCGUGUAGGCGGGAAAGCAAGUCAGAUGUGAAAACUCAGGGCUCAACCCUGAGCCUGCAUUUGAAACUGUUUUUCUUGAGUGCUGGAGAGGCAAUCGGAAUUCCGGGUGUAGCGGUGAAAUGAGUAGAUAUACGGAGGAAAACCAGUGGCGAAGGCGGAUUGCUGGACAGUAACUGACGCUGAGGCGCGAAAGCGUGGGGAGCAAACAGGAUUAGAUACCCCAGUAGUC